Ribosomal RNA from Erinaceus europaeus (western European hedgehog), 138 nucleotides. NCBI's taxonomy places the organism in Eukaryota, Metazoa, Chordata, Mammalia, Eulipotyphla, Erinaceidae. The record is from Ensembl.
GUCUCUGGCCAUACAUCUUGAACAUACCCGAUCUCAUCUGAUCUCAGAAGUUAAGCAGGGUCAGACCUCAUUAGUACUUGGAUGGGAGAUUUUAAUCUACUUUAAAUUCUGUGGUAAGAACAUAAAUGGAUAGAAAGG